This 560-nucleotide long non-coding RNA is filed under the name Capra hircus (goat). RNAcentral's name for it is "lncRNA (ENSCHIG00010015377.1)". Lineage: Eukaryota; Metazoa; Chordata; Mammalia; Artiodactyla; Bovidae. The record is from RNAcentral.
GGCAACCCACUCCAGUAUUCUUGCCUGGGGAAUCCCAUGGAUAGAGGAGCUUGGCGGGCAACAGUCCAUGGCGUCGUAAGAGUUGGACACCACUUAGCACUAUCUUUCUUAAGUGUUUCUUAGAAUUAUCUCUAGAUGUGAAAACAUCUAAUUUGCUUAGUUUUAAAAAAUAAGCUAGGUUAGUUGCAUGGAGUGUUUACUUCUUGAAAACGCCUUUAAAUUGAGCCCAAGCCCGUGGAGGUCCAGGUGAUAACGCACCACAUGCAGCGCUACGCCGUGUGGUUUGGAGGCUCCAUGCUGGCUUCGACUCCGGAGUUCUUGCAGGUCUGUCACACCAAGAAGGACUACGAGGAGUGCGGCCCGAGCAUCUGCCGUCACAACCCCGUCUUCGGGGUCAUGUCUUAGUGGCGGCUUGGGCACCGCUCCCGCAGUGGUGUCAUCGGAGCGCAAGUGUCCUUCAGACCCGGAGACGACAGGCCCUGUACAUAGAGUGCGAGCGUGGUGUCCCAUUGCAUGCGGCGCCGCCCGCCGGACAGCUCGCAAAGCCAUCUGCGCCCUCA